GAGAAGCGCCACGAGACUGCUUACACCAAGAUUGUGGAGAAGCUCUUCGAAAUCGACGCUGAUGGCACCAUCUUGGGAUUGGCUGAUAUGAUGAAGAAAAAGAUCUCGAUGCCUGCGCAUUUGAUGUAUGACGGCCAAGAUGAUAACCUGUUUGAGCACUUCUCGACCGUUGCCCAGAGGCUUGGUGUUUACACGGCCAAGGACUAUGCUGAUAUUCUGGAGUUUCUUGUUGAACGGUGGAACGUUGAGACUUUGUCAGGCCUUUCUAGUGAAGGACACAAGGCUCAGGUAAAAUUACCAUCAUUAAACUUGUGAUGAAACCUAUCAGCUUAUGAAGUCUCUCUUAGUAGGUUUCUUCGUCAUGAAUAUAAUAUACUAGCUGGACGGCUUGAUCUGUUUUGUGUAUUUGAUCGGGGACAUGAACUUGAAUUCUGACUCUGUCAUUGCCUCUGACAGGACUUUGUCUGUGGAUUACCUGCAAGAAUCCGCAAGAUUGAAGAGAGAGCUCAAGGAAGAGCCAAAGAAGCAGCCAAAAACGUACCAUUCAGCUGGAUUUUUGGUCGGGAGAUUAGGGCUUAAGUAAACAUCUCUCUCUCUCUUUCAAAUGAUCCCCGAGUAAGCCGCCAUAAACAUCUCCACCGAUGACGUACCAGUCUUAAGACCUCGAAAGUUCAUUUGAAUAUGUUUUGUUUUAUACGGAACAUUGUAGAUAAUGUUAUGUUUUCUUGUUAGUCGAAGACCAUAAAAUGGUGUUUUGAGUGUUCCUAGUGAGUGAUAAUGUCUGGUUACCAAGAACAAAAAGACUUUUAAGAGUUUGGUUUUCUAUUUUCGAUUCUCUUUUUUGUUGUACCAGUACUUAAUAAUGUUCUCCCAUAAGCAAAGAACGGUUUGUAAUUUAAACCUCUUGUUCAAGUAACAACCAACCAAAAAGUGACCGUUUUAUUACCAUAACAAAGAUGAAACUUAAAAAUAACGUUUUAAUACAAUUGAAACGGAGUAAAGUCUUAUUAGAUGAAACCAUAACUGCAAACGCACAAAUCAAAACUGUUUCUUCUUUUACUCUCAAAUUAAAAGAAGAAGAAAGACUCUGUUCACGAUCUUGUUUAGCUUCUAAAAACUUUAAAGAUCAUGUUUCCCAAGAAACCAGCUGAUUCAUCUACCACACAUCAACACAGCUUCGACGAGUCUCGAUGGGUCAACAACGUCAGAAAAUCUCUCGACGCAGAGCUCGAAGACCACCCUCUCGAACAAGUCACAGUCAGCAUUUUCACCGUCCCUAAAGCUUUAAUGUCUACCCACCAAGACUCAUACACACCUCAGCGAGUCUCCAUCGGACCUUACCACUGUCUCAAACCAGAGCUUCACGAAACAGAGAGGUACAAACUAACGAUCGCUAGAAAAUUUCGAAACAAUUCCAAAUCUUUCAGGUUUCACGACCUCGUCGAGAAGCUGCAAUCAUUGGAGGCCAAGAUCAGAGCUUGCUAUCAUAAGUACAUCGCGCUGAGCGACGAGACUCUGCUGUGGAUAAUGGCGAUCGACUCUUCGUUCUUGAUCGAGUUUCUUAAGGUUUAUUACGGUUUCGGAAAGGUCGAGACUUUGAUUAACAGAGUCGGCCACAACGAGAUUCUUAGAGAUGUAAUGAUGUUAGAGAAUCAAAUCCCGUUGUUCGUUUUGAGGAAAACGCUCGAAGUUCAGCUCGAAUCGAAGGAAUCAGCUGAUGCUCUGUUGGUCUCUGUUCUCACUGGACUCUGCAGAGACCUCUCUCCCCUCGUUGUUAAAUUCGAAGAUGGUGAGAUUCUGAAGGCUGAGAUUCAUGAGUGCAAUCAUAUCCUAGACUUCUUGUAUCAGAUGAUCGUUCCAAGAAUCGAAGAAGAAGAGGAAGAAGAAGAAGAAAACAGAGCAGGCGAAAACAGAGCAUGUAAGCUUCUGAGAGAGAUGAAGCUUCAGUUCAAAAGGGUCUUCGCGUCUCGACCUGCUGAUGUCAUCCUGAGACUCCCAUGGAGAGUCAUAUCGAAUCUCCCCGGCUUCAUCGCUAUACUUUUAUCAAUGGGUCACACUGCUAUUUUAAUAGAAUAGAUGUGAUAUAAAUUUUAUGAUUAGUUAAUGAUUCCCUAUUUGCGUAUAUUGACGUUCGUGCAAGUCUUGAUAAUAAACGAUUUAAAUCUGACAUGUAUUCUUCGACUCUUCGGUUAGAAUAGUAGUUGUUGAUUUUUGAAAAUAAAAGUAGUCGAAAGUCCACCCAUCUCUCGAUUAAAAUGGUAACAAACGGUUGCAUAUUUAUCAUGCGUCCAAAACAAUAUAACUGUCCAAUAACUAAAUUACCUUUAUGCCAUUAGUGAAGGGUAACUAGACCUUUGUAAAAGUGAUGGUAAAAUAAGUAAUAUAAAUAGUUGGACUAAACUUAUAUCAAUAGGUCAAGAUGUUAGUUUUUAAUAUAAUAGACUAAAUUCUGACCCGUCCUUUAAGGACGGGUAUAUUUUUUGUUUUACAUCUUUUUAGGUCUUUUCAAUUGGUAAUUUAAAUAUAAGUUUAAUAACAUAAAGCAUAAUAAAUAAUAUUUUAAAUAAUGAUAAAGAUAAAAAAAAUAAUAAUUGGACAUACUUUUAUCAAUGGGUCACAGUGCUAUUUUAAUAGAAUAGAUGUGAUAUAAAUUUUAUGAUUAGUUAAUGAUUCCCUAUUUGCGUAUAUUGACGUUCGUGCAAGUCUUGAUAAUAAACGAUUUAAAUCUGACAUGUAUUCUUCGACUCUUCGGUUAGAAUAGUAGUUGUUGAUUUUUGAAAAUAAAAGUAGUCGAAAGUCCACCCAUCUCUCGAUUAAAAUGGUAACAAACGGUUGCAUAUUUAUCAUGCGUCCAAAACAAUAUAACUGUCCAAUAACUAAAUUACCUUUAUGCCAUUAGUGAAGGGUAACUAGACCUUUGUAAAAGUGAUGGUAAAAUAAGUAAUAUAAAUAGUUGGACUAAACUUAUAUCAAUAGGUCAAGAUGUUAGUUUUUAAUAUAAUAGACUAGAUUCUGACCCGUCCUUAAAGGACGGGUAUAUUUUUUGUUUUACAUCUUUUUAGGUCUUUUCAAUUGGUAAUUUAAAUAUAAAUUUAAUAACAUAAAGCAUAAUAAAUAAUAUUUUAAAUAAUGAUAAAGAUAAAAGAAAUAAUAAUUGGACCAUACUUUUAUCAAUGGGUCACACUGCUAUUUUAAUAGAAUAGAUUUAAAUAUAGGUCUAAUGGCAUAAAACAUAAUAAAUAAUAUUUUAAAUAAUGAUAAAGAUAAAAGAAAUAAUAGUUGGACGAUACUUUUAUCAAUGGGUCACACUGCUAUUUUAAUAGAAUAGAUUCUGGAUGAUGUGGUUAUGUCUAAAAGGACACUUAUUUUGCCAGGUCCGGUUCGUGUAGUCUUGUUAGCCUGUUCUUAAGUAAAGAGCGUUGGAUUAUGACCAGUUUAAGGUCUGUAUCUACUCUUACACGUUUAAAAUAAGUGCAGAUUUAAUAAUGGUUCUAGCUGGGCCAGAGUGGACCGGCUAGUAUUAGACGUACCAUAACCAAGGACUACGUUAUUCAACAUAUAACCGCGUAAUGAGAAUAUGAUAUAAUUUGGGGUGAUGGUUCUGUAGAUAACUAAUAAAUGCAUGGAAGAACUAACUUACCAUGCCAAGGAACAGCAUGUGCACAUUAUCAUAACUCACAAAGCCUCUCUGUCAUCUACGCAGAGAUUCUUUCUCUCUCAAACACUCAUAAACACAUUAAUUAUCCGCUAGAGUUUGACUUUUUUUCCCGGAGGAAACAUGGCGUCGAACCAUGAGUUUCUUGCUCGGUUCGUCGAGGAGACAACGUUUUACAACCGAAUAGUUCUGAGCCACCUUUUGCCGGCGAAUCUAUGGGAGCCUUUGCCACAUUUCCUCCAAACAUGGCUCCGGAACUACCUAGCCGGAAACUUACUUUACUUCAUCUCCGGCUUCCUCUGGUGCUUCUACAUCUAUUACCUUAAACUCAACGUUUACGUCCCUCAAGGUGAGAUUAUUUUUUCAGUUCGUCUUAUUUUUGAGCUCUCUUUUUUUUUAAUGAAUCUACAAUAUUCUUCAGAUUCUGUUCCUACAAGAAAGGCAAUGAUUCUACAAAUAUAUGUGGCAAUGAAGGCUAUGCCUUGGUCCACACUUGUUCCAACUGUCUCUGAGUAUAUAAUCGAGCGUGGUUGGACCAAAUGUUACUCUACACUUGAUCAGUUCAACUGGUGCCUCUGUUUGGUUUACAUCGCGUUUUAUCUUGUUUUAGUUGAGUUUAUGAUUUAUUGGGUUCACAAAAUGACUCAUGACAAUAAAUUUCUCUAUAAGCAUCUCCAUGCAACCCACCAUAUGUACAACAAGCAAAACACACUCUCUCCAUUUGCUGGUUAGUCACAUUCUUAUUUCUUAAGAACUCUCUUUCAAACCUGCUUGCCCUGGGAGUUAACUUUAACCUUAUCUUCGAUAAUGUUGAAACUAACAUUCAAAUCGAACGGCCGGUCUAUAAAUUUGGUGCUAAGAUUCAUGAGUUUCCAACUUAGUUACAAUUGGCAAUAAGUGGAUUGGUCUAGAUGUCUUAUAUAUUAUUUAUGUUUCAUCGAAACUCUUAAUUUGGGGGAUUUUAUUCUUAUACUCUCUUUAGUGAUUAAACUUCAUGACCUAUUAAUCUUUACAUAGUCCCAAUACUUGGUAAUAAAUUUUUUCUGUCAACUUGGUAAUAUAUAACAUUGCUUGAAAGUUUUUCGGGUUUUCAGGGCUUGCGUUCCAUCCAUUGGAUGGGAUACUUCAGGCAGUACCGCAUGUGAUAGCUCUGUUCAUAGUGCCGAUACAUCUCAUAACACAUUUGAGUCUUUUUAUUAUGGAAGGGAUAUGGACAGUGAGCAACCAUGAUUGCAUCAAUGGUAACAUAUGGCCUAUAAUGGGUGCAGGACACCAUACCAUACACCAUACAACAUACAAGCAUAACUAUGGCCAUUAUACCAUAUGCAUGGAUUGGCUGUUUGGCUCACUUAAGGUCCCUUUAGCUGAAGACGACAGCUUUAAUGAGAAAGAAAAGUGAUAUGUUCAACGUACACAUUUUUUUUGUUGUCCUUCAUGUGUUUUUCUACUCCUGAGUCUUAAACCUUUGUAAUAUCACUUUGUUAGAAUAAGAAACAUGAUUGCACUAUUAGCUACAAAGUUUCUUACUUGUCUUCAAAGAAUACUUAGUUUGGUAAGUAGAAGGUUGAUAAAGAUACAACACUAGCAUCUAUAAUAGGCAAAGUUUGUACUUUUCAGUUAAGGUAAGAAAUCUAAAAACAUAAAAAUAGAGAAAAUUAAAGGUAGUAUAAAAUAUAGCCAAGUAUACGCUUUCAUAAUCAACUAGUUCUUGUAGAUGGGUCACAUAGAAAGCAUAAAUAUCUGCCAAUGCUCCCACUUGUGUUGAAUGGGUUGUCCCACAGAGUCACAGAUCUCUAUGCCUACACAUUUAAUAUUGUUAUGGCUCCUUUAACUACUGUGAUGUUUAAGUGCAGACUUUUCUCAGAUCAGAAGAAAACCAGUUAGUUGGGGCAAUGACAUAUUUAGCUCACCAUAAAAUUGCUAAAAAAAAAAGCUCACCAUAAGAAUGAGUUGUGAAAUAUAGAAUCACCAAGUCAUUAUUAGAAACGUUGUCAAUGGAUUUGAUUCUUGAUGUUUAAAACUGUUGGGAUUAGUCGAAGCAUAAUUUAGGCCCAAUAAUUUGACAAAAGAAUGAGUCAUAUAUCAUUCGGCCCAUGGGCCUGUGAAAAAAGCAGCGAAAAAUAUCUGAGUGUGGCAUUGACGUAAAUAAAAGAGCACCUGAGGGAUAUUCUAGAGAAGAAAAAUAAAAGUUGCAUACAUACACAUGUCCAUGGCUCGAUCAUCACGCCCACCCAAAACCUUCACAUUUGUCACAGUCUCGUAGCAGCAAUCAAACAUAGAAAUAAUCGACCUUCGGGAUCCGUCCUUGUUCUUUAUUUAAAUCACUUCCAUUUAUCGAGUUUGUUAGAGUCUUAGAGAAUAAACUAAGAGAAAAAUGGCGAUGGCUAUGAGUCGGAUCGUACUUUCGCCUUCUUCUUACGCCUAUCGUCCUCGUCAAGCUCGUGGAUCCAGAUCCUCCAUUGCUUCUUCGAUUCGUUCCGCUACUACGUGAGCCUUUUCUCCCUUCAUUGUCGUAAUCAUAUGUUUUGCUGAUCUGUGUGUUUUGGAUUGAAUGCCGAUGAUGAAUCUCUGUUAUCACCAAUGUUCAAAAAUAGCUAAGGCUGUAACUAGUCGUAUUAGCAACUAGGCGGAUUAUUUGGAAUCUAGGCCUAGCCUUCCUGGGGUUAACAAAUUAUUGACUGAUUUGAUGUAUUUUUACAUUCGUGUAAGAUAUUUUAGUUUUUAGAUCUAAUUAUAAAAUUAGUUCGAUGAAUUACUAAAAUUAGAUAUAUAUAUAAAACAAAAAAAAAAUAGUCAAAAUUUGUGGAUUUGUACCAACAUUAUUAACAAAUUUAGACUAAUUUAAAUUAAUUUAGAAUGGCUUAAACCGAUUUAAAAUAGCUUAAAUCUUAUAUAAAUCGAAUAUUUUAAAAAACCAUUUCGGCUCGCAUCGAUUUUUAGGACAAAUUUUAUUAUCAUGGUUAUUACUAAUUCAUCGAGGAAGACAUAUAUACUGUCUGAAGCUUAUUGGUGUUUUUUCAGGAUUGUUGUGUGUAGUACUGCUAAGUCUAUUUUAUUUUCAUCACUCGCUCAAGUCCUGAGUUUGAAACUCUAUUUGGUUUAAUUACAGGGAGGUUACUAACGGAAGGAAGCUCUACAUCCCUCCACGAGAAGUGCAUGUCCAAGUUAAACACUCCAUGCCGCCGCAAAAGCUCGAGAUGUUCAAAUCCUUGGAAGGAUGGGCUGACGAGACCCUCUUGACCUACUUAAAACCCGUCGAGAAGUCGUGGCAGCCGACAGAUUUUCUCCCGGAAGCCGAGUCAGAAGGGUUCUAUGACCAAGUCAAAGAGUUAAGGGAACGGUGUAAGGAGCUUCCCGACGAGUAUUUCGUGGUGCUUGUCGGUGAUAUGAUCACUGAAGAAGCGCUUCCGACUUACCAGACCAUGUUGAACACGUUGGAUGGUGUUAGGGAUGAGACGGGAGCUAGUCCUACUCCUUGGGCGGUGUGGACUAGGGCGUGGACUGCUGAAGAGAAUAGGCAUGGGGAUUUGCUUAACAAGUAUCUUUAUUUGUCUGGGAGAGUUGACAUGAGGCAGAUUGAGAAGACUAUUCAGUACCUUAUUGGCUCUGGAAUGGUAAGCUUCUCUGAUUUGUAUUCUAUGUUUCUCAUGUAUGAUUAAUUUAUAGGCCUGCCGGUUCGGGUAAAAUUUUGCUGAAUUGAACCGUAAAAAAGUUCGGUUCGGUUCUUGGCUAGUUCGUAUCAAAAAAUUUUACCGAAAUUUUUGGUUUAAAUUGAAUAAAAUUCAAAAAAAAAUUUUGUUCGGAUUUUGAUUAGUUCUGUUAUUUUGAUUCGGAUUUUGGUUAGUUCGGUUCGGAUUUUCGGUUAAUAUUGGUACUGUUUGAUUGUUUUUGUUACCAAACAUCCGAACCGAAAACCGAACUUUUCGGUUCGGUUCGGUUAAAAAUCCCAGCUCUAAUUAAUUAUAUAUGACUGAUAUUGUUUUAUCUUCUUAGGAUCCAAAAACUGAAAACAACCCUUACUUGGGUUUCAUCUACACAUCCUUUCAAGAAAGAGCGACCUUCAUCUCCCAUGGAAACACUGCCAGACACGCUAAAGAUCUUGGAGAUUUGAAACUUGCGCAGAUAUGCGGGACCAUUGCUGCUGACGAGAAGCGCCACGAGACUGCUUACACCAAGAUUGUGGAGAAGCUCUUCGAAAUCGACGCUGAUGGCACCAUCUUGGGAUUGGCUGAUAUGAUGAAGAAAAAGAUCUCGAUGCCUGCGCAUUUGAUGUAUGACGGCCAAGAUGAUAACCUGUUUGAGCACUUCUCGACCGUUGCACAGAGGCUCGGUGUCUACACUGCGAAGGACUAUGCUGAUAUUCUGGAGUUUCUUGUUGAACGGUGGAACGUUGAGACUUUGUCAGGCCUUUCUAGUGAAGGACACAAGGCUCAGGUACAUUACCAUCAUAAAACUUGUGAUGAAACCUAUCAGCUUAUGAAGUCUCUCUUAGUAGGUUUCUUCGUCAUGAAUAUAAUAUACUAGCUGGACGGCUUGAUCUGUUUUGUGUAUUUGAUCGGGG
This 8216-nucleotide long non-coding RNA is filed under the name Brassica napus (rape). RNAcentral's name for it is "long non-coding RNA (BNAP_LNC026305)". The record is from RNAcentral. Lineage: Eukaryota; Viridiplantae; Streptophyta; Magnoliopsida; Brassicales; Brassicaceae.